AACUUUCAACAACGGAUCUCUUGGUUCUGGCAUCGAUGAAGAGCGCAGCAAAAUGCGAUAAGUAAUGUGAAUUGCAGAAUUCAGUGAAUCAUCGAAUCUUUGAACGCACAUUGCGCCCGCCAGUAUUCUGGCGGGCAUGCCUGUUCGAGCGUCAUUU
This 157-nucleotide ribosomal RNA is filed under the name Fusarium equiseti. RNAcentral's name for it is "5.8S ribosomal RNA". It matches the Rfam family "5.8S ribosomal RNA". Rfam says of the family: 5.8S ribosomal RNA (5.8S rRNA) is a component of the large subunit of the eukaryotic ribosome. The record is from RNAcentral. Lineage: Eukaryota; Fungi; Ascomycota; Sordariomycetes; Hypocreales; Nectriaceae.